Homo sapiens (human) is the source of this 296-nucleotide unclassified non-coding RNA. The record is from Ensembl. Lineage: Eukaryota; Metazoa; Chordata; Mammalia; Primates; Hominidae.
GCUGUGGUGGGCACAUGACUGUAGUACCAGCUACUUGGGAGGCUGAGGCAAGAGGAUUGCCUGAGUCCAGGAGUUCUGGGCUAUAGUGUGCUAUGCUGAUUGGGUGUCUGCACUAAGUGUGGCCCCAGUAUGGUGACCUCCUAGGAGUGGGGGACCACCAGGUUGCCUAAGGAGGGGUGAACUGGCCCAGUUUGGAAAUGGAGCAGGUCAAAACUCCCGUGCUGAUCAAUAGUGGGAUUGCACUUGUGAAUAGCCACUGCACUGCAGCCUGGGCAACAUAGUGAGACCCCAUCUCU